This 204-nucleotide unclassified non-coding RNA is filed under the name uncultured Psathyrella. Its description in RNAcentral is "sequence contains ITS2". Lineage: Eukaryota; Fungi; Basidiomycota; Agaricomycetes; Agaricales; Psathyrellaceae. The record is from RNAcentral.
AAUUCUCAACCUCACCAGUUUUGUAACGAGACAGGUGAAGGCUUGGAUGUGGGGGUUUUGCAGGCUGCCUCAGUGCUGGUCUGCUCCCCUGAAAUGCAUUAGCGAGCUCAUACUGAGCUUCCGUCUAUUGGUGUGAUAAUAUCUACGCCGUGGACUGGACUCGUGCUUGCUUCUAACCGUCCGCAAGGACAAUCUACUUGACCA